UAAUCAUGCAGCUCUGUAAUGAAAAGCCUUCUUUUGCAAAGAGAUAUAAAUUUUAAAUAUGUUUUGUGUUUAUUAUAAACCAAUUAUGUACCCAGCACUCUAUUAAUGCAUUAGGAAGACUACAGAGGAAGCAGAAUAUAUUAUUGUCUCUUUCCUUAAAGGACUUUUGGGUUAUAAGUGACAGACAGAUACUUCAGUCCCUGAUCUCAUCAUUUUAUUCAUGAUUAGUGACUAUUGGCAAUUUAUUUAAGCAUUUUCCUCUUGCUAUCCAUGACACUGCACAAG
This 285-nucleotide long non-coding RNA is filed under the name Homo sapiens (human). Its description in RNAcentral is "HSALNT0320077". The record is from RNAcentral. Lineage: Eukaryota; Metazoa; Chordata; Mammalia; Primates; Hominidae.